UUCUCGUACAUUAUUCUGCAUAAGCUUUAAUAUUUCUUUGACUUAUGUGGAUUGGAAAGACCCCAUGUUGACAGGAAGCAGCACAGCCUCCUGAGACUUGGCUUCCAGACAAAGGGAGUUCAGACAGAAAUUGGAGCUUCUGGUUGCAUUUUGAACUCUGCCUGCCCCCAGUGUUCUCUCCCCUUGAACAAGCUGCAUCUCACUCAGCUGGCUGAACAGUGGCUGCAGUUGCCUUUGACUCGUGUGACUUUAAACAGGACAUUGCUAGAAGACUUGAACAAAUAAACUGGACUCCAUGAAAUAAUCAGAUUUAACAGUCCCUGUUGUAUACACUCCUGGAAACUUGUUAAUUCAUUAAGUAACAAAGCAAUUCUCAUUCUGAGUGAAAAAAACCCCACAAAUUAUUUUUGAUUACAUAUUCUUUAUUCUUUAUUUUGAUUCAUUAUUAUUAUUAUUAUAUUUAUUCAAUAUUAUUAUAAUGAACAAGUUAUAAUGAAUAAAUAUAAUACAUAAUAUAUUUCAUAGUAGGAAUUACUCAUCCUAUGGUAAAAUGUCUUUCCAUAUAAAAACUUUCUAAAAAUCUGAAGUUCUACUCAAAGAUUUGGGAAUCCUAAGAGCAGCCUCUGCUGAUGCAAAGGGAAAUUGUUUCUCAAUUUUUCUAGUAGAGGUAAGUGUUUAUUGCCUAUCCACAAGAAGUUUGUAAGAACUGUUUGGUGUUUGUAUGUCACUUGGAAAAUAUAAAAGCCUUCAUGGAUUAUAAAUUUAAAGUAACUCAAGUAAAUAAGAGGAUCAGCAUUAAAAAUAUUGGAUGCCACAAACAAUAUAGCUGAAACCACAAUGGUCUUAUGGUCCAUCAACAGAGUUAUGGUAGUCUAAUGAGUAAGAUGUCUCUUUCUCCUCCAUAAUAAAUGUGAAUACUGAUGCACAGCUUGGACCGUUCCCGUUCUUCUGACGGCAUUUUCUUACAGCUCAAUGAGCUGCUCCAGGCCGGCCCUACCCCAGGCUGUGCCCGGGCAGGGAGUCCAGAAGGGAAAAUAUAAUCCCUUUGCUUGGAUCACCUCGAGAUGCUGGGUCCAGUUC
This 1080-nucleotide long non-coding RNA is filed under the name Ficedula albicollis (Collared flycatcher). RNAcentral describes it as "lncRNA (ENSFALG00000027746.1)". The record is from RNAcentral. Lineage: Eukaryota; Metazoa; Chordata; Aves; Passeriformes; Muscicapidae.